AGAACUUAGCAGAGAUGCUUUGGUGGCCUUCGGGAACUCUGAGACAGGUGCUGCAUGGCUGUCGUCAGCUCGUGUUGUGAAAUGUUGGGUUAAGUCCCGCAACGAGCGCAACCCUUAUCCUUUGUUGCCAGCGGUCCGGCCGGGAACUCAAAGGAGACUGCCAGUGAUAAACUGGAGGAAGGUGGGGAUGACGUCAAGUCAUCAUGGCCCUUACGAGUAGGGCUACACACGUGCUACAAUGGCGCAUACAAAGAGAAGCGACCUCGCGAGAGCAAGCGGACCUCAUAAAGUGCGUCGUAGUCCGGAUUGGAGUCUGCAACUCGACUCCAUGAAGUCGGAAUCGCUAGUAAUCGUGGAUCAGAAUGCCACGGUGAAUACGUUCCCGGGCCUUGUACACACCGCCCGUCACACCAUGGGAGUGGGUUGCAAAAGAAGUAGGUAGCUUAACCUUCGGGAGGGCGCUUACCACUUUGUGAUUCAUGACUGGGGUGAAGUCGUAACAAGGUAAGCGUAGUGCU
This 518-nucleotide ribosomal RNA is filed under the name uncultured bacterium. RNAcentral describes it as "bacterial SSU rRNA". It matches the Rfam family "Bacterial small subunit ribosomal RNA", at positions 992 to 1509 of the family's 1533-position model. The record is from RNAcentral.